UUGAGUUGGAACUGCCGAGGAGGAGGGAAUGCUCGGACUGCUCGUGAUCUUGUGAGCUUGGUGCAAAGUUAUUCUCCUAGUAUUGUUUUCAUUUGUGAAACUAGGCAGUCGAAGGAAAGAAUGAAAAGAUAUAGAUCUCGCCUAGGGUUAAGUGGCUUUGAAGCAGUUGAUAGUGUUGGUCUUAGUGGAGGUCUUGCUCUCUAUUGGCAUGAGUCAUUGAAUCUCGAUGUAAAAUCUAUGAACGAAAGGCAUAUCGAUGCUUAUGUGAGUGGCGCGGCGGGAGAGCCCCCUUGGAGGCUUACAUGUGUCUACGGCGAGCCCCGAACGGAGGACCGACACCGCAUGUGGUCGCUUCUCCGGGACCUAUGCCACCAAGUUGACAUGCCAUGGGCAGUGAUUGGAGAUUUCAAUGAGGUCAUGUGGGGUUUUGAACAUUUUUCUGAGACUCCCCGAUCGGCAGGUCAGAUGAUUGAUUUUCGGGAUGUUUUGGAAUUAUGUGGCCUCGGUGAUCUUGGUUUUUCAGGUCUUCCAUAUACUUAUGAUAACCGGCGGUCUGGCUGA
RNAcentral lists this ribosomal RNA (561 nucleotides) under Triticum aestivum (bread wheat). Its description in RNAcentral is "partial small subunit ribosomal RNA". The record is from RNAcentral. Lineage: Eukaryota; Viridiplantae; Streptophyta; Magnoliopsida; Poales; Poaceae.